RNAcentral lists this small nuclear RNA (99 nucleotides) under Chinchilla lanigera (long-tailed chinchilla). The record is from RNAcentral. Lineage: Eukaryota; Metazoa; Chordata; Mammalia; Rodentia; Chinchillidae.
UUGCUUCUGUAGCACAUAUACUACAAUCAGAACAAUACAGAGAAGAUAAGCACAGCCCCUGUACAGGGAAGAGAGUCACACAAAUUGUUCCAUAGUUUU